This 759-nucleotide ribosomal RNA is filed under the name Streptomyces fradiae. RNAcentral describes it as "bacterial SSU rRNA". It matches the Rfam family "Bacterial small subunit ribosomal RNA", at positions 54 to 831 of the family's 1533-position model. Lineage: Bacteria; Bacillati; Actinomycetota; Actinomycetes; Kitasatosporales; Streptomycetaceae. The record is from RNAcentral.
CAUGCAGUCGAACGAUGAAGCCCUUCGGGGUGGAUUAGUGGCGAACGGGUGAGUAACACGUGGGCAAUCUGCCCUUCACUCUGGGACAAGCCCUGGAAACGGGGUCUAAUACCGGAUAACACCGGCUUCCGCAUGGAAGCUGGUUGAAAGCUCCGGCGGUGAAGGAUGAGCCCGCGGCCUAUCAGCUUGUUGGUGGGGUAAUGGCCCACCAAGGCGACGACGGGUAGCCGGCCUGAGAGGGCGACCGGCCACACUGGGACUGAGACACGGCCCAGACUCCUACGGGAGGCAGCAGUGGGGAAUAUUGCACAAUGGGCGAAAGCCUGAUGCAGCGACGCCGCGUGAGGGAUGACGGCCUUCGGGUUGUAAACCUCUUUCAGCAGGGAAGAAGCGAAAGUGACGGUACCUGCAGAAGAAGCGCCGGCUAACUACGUGCCAGCAGCCGCGGUAAUACGUAGGGCGCAAGCGUUGUCCGGAAUUAUUGGGCGUAAAGAGCUCGUAGGCGGCUUGUCACGUCGGGUGUGAAAGCCCGGGGCUUAACCCCGGGUCUGCAUCCGAUACGGGCAGGCUAGAGUGUGGUAGGGGAGAUCGGAAUUCCUGGUGUAGCGGUGAAAUGCGCAGAUAUCAGGAGGAACACCGGUGGCGAAGGCGGAUCUCUGGGCCAUUACUGACGCUGAGGAGCGAAAGCGUGGGGAGCGAACAGGAUUAGAUACCCUGGUAGUCCACGCCGUAAACGUUGGGAACUAGGUGUUGGCGACA